GCAAUGGACGAAAGUCUGACCGAGCAACGCCGCGUGAGUGAAGAAGGUUUUCGGAUCGUAAAGCUCUGUUGUAAGUCAAGAACGUGUGUGAGAGUGGAAAGUUCACACAGUGACGGUAGCUUACCAGAAAGGGACGGCUAACUACGUGCCAGCAGCCGCGGUAAUACGUAGGUCCCGAGCGUUGUCCGGAUUUAUUGGGCGUAAAGGGAGCGCAGGCGGUCAGGAAAGUCUGGAGUAAAAGGCUAUGGCUCAACCAUAGUGUGCUCUGGAAACUGUCUGACUUGAGUGCAGAAGGGGAGAGUGGAAUUCCAUGUGUAGCGGUGAAAUGCGUAGAUAUAUGGAGGAACACCAGUGGCGAAAGCGGCUCUCUGGUCUGUCACUGACGCUGAGGCUCGAAAGCGUGGGUAGCGAACAGGAUUAGAUACCCUGGUAGUCCACGCCGUAAACGAUGAGUGCUAGGUGUUAGGCCCUUUCCGGGGCUUAGUGCCGGAGCUAACGCAAUAAGCACUCCGCCUGGGGAGUACGACCGCAAGGUUGAAACUCAAAGGAAUUGACGGGGGCCCGCACAGGCGGUGGAGCAUGUGGUUUAAUUCGAAGCAACGCGA
This 605-nucleotide ribosomal RNA is filed under the name Streptococcus mutans. RNAcentral's name for it is "bacterial SSU rRNA". It matches the Rfam family "Bacterial small subunit ribosomal RNA", at positions 368 to 964 of the family's 1533-position model. Lineage: Bacteria; Bacillati; Bacillota; Bacilli; Lactobacillales; Streptococcaceae. The record is from RNAcentral.